This 250-nucleotide ribosomal RNA is filed under the name uncultured bacterium. Its description in RNAcentral is "partial 16S ribosomal RNA". It matches the Rfam family "Bacterial small subunit ribosomal RNA", at positions 524 to 773 of the family's 1533-position model. The record is from RNAcentral.
UACGGAGGGUGCGAGCGUUGUCCGGAAUCACUGGGCGUAAAGGGCGCGUAGGUGGCGCGGUAAGCGUGUGGUGAAAGCUCGGGGCUCAACCCCGAGUCGGCCAUGCGAACUGCUGGGCUUGAGCACUGUAGAGGCAGGUGGAAUUCCGGGUGUAGCGGUGGAAUGCGUAGAGAUCCGGAAGAACACCGGUGGCGAAGGCGGCCUGCUGGGCAGUGGCUGACACUGAGGCGCGACAGCGUGGGGAGCAAAC